Cottoperca gobio is the source of this 966-nucleotide long non-coding RNA. RefSeq lists it as uncharacterized. NCBI's taxonomy places the organism in Eukaryota, Metazoa, Chordata, Actinopteri, Perciformes, Bovichtidae. The record is from RefSeq and is a predicted model, not a curated record. The transcript has 3 exons.
UUCAACUUGAGCAGAGGUCUAGUUAGAAAGGUGAAAACAACUGUGUAGGCUACAUUGCCCUAAAAUCUGCAUUAAUAGGUAUUUAGGCCACUAAAGGGCAAAAGAGCUCCUCAAGAAGCUAGCUAAACUUUUAGCACCUUGUCGGGCUGUUUCGGAUGUUGGCUAACUUGUUAGCAAGCAGUUACCGACUUACACAUCCAGCAGACGUGAAGUAGCAUCGGCAUUCAUUUGGAAAUGUGUUUCUGGCCACGUCACAAAUGAACAUUGUCCAGAUGAUGGGACUGUAAGGGAGGAUGACGGGGGCCCAGGCAGCCAAACAAAUUGAAAAAUCUUCAAAAGAAAUACAAGAUCAUUGGAAUCAUUUGUCCAAAUGGCUUUUUUUGGUAACGGAGCAAGGAGCAGCUGGCAUUGGUUUUUCCUGAUGCAUGAGGCAGUUGGGCCACUGCCAUCGAUUAGUCCUGCGGUCCUGAUUGCCUCAUGCACAGGGGAAGAUCGGCCAUGAUCCAGCAGCAUCGCAAGAGCUACUUGUCUGCCAGGGCCCCCUGAAAUAGCUUGUGAGGAAGGACUCUCACCUCUUCCACAACCACCACCACCAGACCUGCAGCUUCAACUGGAGAGGUGUGAGCAGUGAGGGCUGCGUUCUACAGAAGAGAUGCCCAGUCCACCAACGAAGUGAAGUCAGAGAUCUUUUGGUGGAGGCAAUAUUACAAGGAGGAGAGAGGAGAUGAAUCCAUUUUCAGGCACCUGGAGGAACAAACUGCUCGGACUUUUAGAGAGAAUUGUAUACGAGAUGUAAAAAUAUUUUAUCGUAGUUACUGAUUUUCUAAUAAAUAUUAUAAAUCAUGUUUAUGCCUGGUGAGUUUCUGUGAAUUAAAAUAGAAUCCCAAAGACUGUUUUUCUCUUUAUAUUUUCAUUUACUGUAAGUAUGUAGUACGUUUUUGAGAACAUAAAUAAAGGUUCAGUUUG